AGAGUGGUGUGUACAGAGAGGCAGAGCAGCAUGAAAAACCUGCUCAGGCAAGGGAAUUAUUAGUGCUUCAGGGAAUUGCCAUGGAAACAUAAAGCAGAAGGUGGUGAAGGGGCAAGAGGCAAGGCUGGUGAGAAAGGAAAGGCUGAGGUCGUAAGAGAUGCAGCCAGUCAUGUGGGCCAGGAGCCUCAGCCUUGCUCCAUUCAAUGAAAGUAUCCUGCCCUCACCAGAGUGCUCUUCUUUAGCUAUGUAUCAGAUGCACAAACAGAAUUUUUUUUGAAAAAGAAAAGAAAUAGAUGCUUUGACCCACUAAUGGACAUUUGGACCCGGAGACUCUGGAGUCCUGAAGCCCAUUGGGAAAACCUUGAAUUUAUUCUUUUAUGCUGAGGAAGUGACUGAUGCAACCUAGGGUGUGACUUCAUGUACUGGACACAGCUUUAUGUCACAAGGAAUUCUGUCUAAUGGUGGAAUCCCAAACAUCAACCACGCAGUCUAAGCAGCAUCUUGGGAGCCGAAGCGAACUCCUCCUAGGUCGACGGAGCCCAUACCCAGGAUUCUCUGGAUCUGACUACUCUAACAGCAUGGAAAGGUGGAUGUGGGAAGAACGAGUAAGUCAGCAGAGAAGCAACACAUUCAAGAGACCACGCAUCCCUCACCUGGUGCUCACCCGG
Molecule: long non-coding RNA, 668 nt
Organism: Bubalus bubalis (water buffalo)
Lineage: Eukaryota; Metazoa; Chordata; Mammalia; Artiodactyla; Bovidae
Exons: 4
Source: RefSeq, a predicted model, not a curated record